CAAACAAAACCACAACCAGAACAGACCACCUUUCCUUCAAACCUGAUUCUUCCACUAUUUGUUAGCAGCUUUCAGUGGCAACACAAAACUGAGUGAUCCUGCCUUCAGGAAGAUGGCUCUUUCUCUGGAGAAAGAGGAGGUACCAAGAAUUUUUCCAGAAGCUGCGAAGAGGUGACUGUAAUUCUUUGUCUUUGAUCAAAAUUGGGGUCUUCUAUCUUUAAAAGACCUUGGCACCAGUGGUAUUAAUGCAACCCCUGCUGGCUGUGGUUGAGUGGAGAUGAAGCCUGAAGUCCCUGCCGUUGCCCUACAAACAUGAGUAUAAUUAAGGAUGCAGUGGAAUGAAAGCAGCCGCACCACCCGGGAGAGCAUCCACUGUAGACACAGGAGCUAUUUUCUGCAUCGCACCCUCUGAAAGGCUCCAGAACAUGAAAAAUGAUGGCUUCAGAGGCAGACAACGGGGAUACUGAAUGCAAAAAAGGACUUUCUCGCUCCAUCUCUCCAAAAGACCCAUGCCUUGUGACAGUGGUAUCAGGGCAGCAGAUGGCAAAGUGCGAACAGCAUGGGAAGUCAUCAGGAGUCCCUGGAAAGUGUAUUUCGGGAAGCUGUGUGGCAAAUCAGGGAACAUUACAGACAGUACUGAGAGCAAGGCAAUCGUCUGCAUAGUCAUAAAAUAACCUUCACCUUUUCUGGCGGAGACUGACACUGCAGUAAACAAGCUCAAACUGGGGAAGGCACACGGUAAAUGUUACAGAUGAAGUCAUAAAAGUCUGGCAGCCACACAGUUCGUGUCCUUCAUAAAAUCUGUGAAGAAGCAAAUGGGAAGCCAGGGACUGGCCAAAGUACCAGCACAAAUCAAUCUACCUUUCACCAUCUAAGGGAAAGAAAAGCAGACCUGAAAAAGACGUGCUGAGCAGAUCUCUUCCCAAACCCUGUUAAUGUGCUACCACAUGUUACUGGAACUUGCAAAGCAAGAUGGGGUCCAAGAAGAUUGAAUGAGUUGGGACCGGUAGAGGGGCAGAAAAAUCUUUUCUUUUUUUUCUUUUAAAGUUGGGGUAGCCUGAGAUAAUUCGGUCAUCUGCUCUCUGUGAAUCUGCAGUGGUCUGCAAGCCAGUUUGGGAAAGCUAUACACACACCAAAGCUACUUGCUGUGAUUUGUAUGGCUGCCUUGAUCUGUUUAAUUUUAUUAAAACUUCCAGAGGAAAUCAUAGUAGAUGUUUUACAUGGAA
This is a long non-coding RNA of Cygnus olor (mute swan), 1226 nucleotides long. RefSeq lists it as uncharacterized. The transcript is spliced from 3 exons. The record is from RefSeq and is a predicted model, not a curated record. NCBI's taxonomy places the organism in Eukaryota, Metazoa, Chordata, Aves, Anseriformes, Anatidae.